UAUUGCACCAAUGGGCGAAAGCCUGAUGCAGCGACGCCGCGUGAGGGAUGACGGCCUUCGGGUUGUAAACCUCUUCAGUAGGGAAGAAGCGAAAGUGACGGUACCUGCAGAAGAAGCGCCGGCUAACUACGUGCCAGCAGCCGCGGUAAUACGUAGGGCGCAAGCGUUAUCCGGAAUUAUUGGGCGUAAAGAGCUCGUAGGCGGUUGUCGCGUCUGCCGUGAAAGUCCGGGGCUCAACUCCGGAUCUGCGGUGGGUACGGGCAGACUAGAGUGAUGUAGGGGAGACUGGAAUUCCUGGUGUAGCGGUGAAAUGCGCAGAUAUCAGGAGGAACACCGAUGGCGAAGGCAGGUCUCUGGGCAUUAACUGACGCUGAGGAGCGAAAGCAUGGGGAGCGAACAGGAUUAGAUACCCUGGUAGUCCAUGCCGUAAACGUUGGGCACUAGGUGUGGGGGACAUUCCACGUUUUCCGCGCCGUAGCUAACGCAUUAAGUGCCCCGCCUGGGGAGUACGGCCGCAAGGCUAAAACUCAAAGGAAUUGACGGGGGCCCGCACAAGCGGCGGAGCAUGCGGAUUAAUUCGAUGCAACGCGAAGAACCUUACCAAGGCUUGACAUGAACCGGAAACGUCUGGAAACAGGCGCCCCACUUGUGGUCGGUUUACAGGUGGUGCAUGGUUGUCGUCAGCUCGUGUCGUGAGAUGUUGGGUUAAGUCCCGCAACGAGCGCAACCCUCGUUCCAUGUUGCCAGCGCGUAAUGGCGGGGACUCAUGGGAGACUGCCGGGGUCAACUCGGAGGAAGGUGGGGACGACGUCAAAUCAUCAUGCCCCUUAUGUCUUGGGCUUCACGCAUGCUACAAUGGCCGGUACAAAGGGUUGCGAUACUGUGAGGUGGAGCUAAUCCCAAAAAGCCGGUCUCAGUUCGGAUUGGGGUCUGCAACUCGACCCCAUGAAGUCGGAGUCGCUAGUAAUCGCAGAUCAGCAACGCUGCGGUGAAUACGUUCCCGGGCCUUGUACACACCGCCCGUCAAGUCACGAAAGUUGGUAACACCCGAAGCCGGUGGCCUAACCCCUUGUGGGAGGGAGCUUCGAAAGGUGAACCCGGGUUC
Molecule: ribosomal RNA, 1105 nt
Filed under: Pseudarthrobacter scleromae
Lineage: Bacteria; Bacillati; Actinomycetota; Actinomycetes; Micrococcales; Micrococcaceae
Description: bacterial SSU rRNA
Rfam family: Bacterial small subunit ribosomal RNA
Source: RNAcentral